CAUCAGGAGGCACUAAGCCUAUGCCACCUUCUUAAAUGGUUUUGGAGACAAGCACACGUGUAUAUUAAACAAUCCCUAAGAGAUGUGAAUUGGACUCUUCAUUAUCUUGAUUCUGCCCUUAUCUUCUGAAUUCUCAAGCCCCCCAAUGGACUGCUAUCAUUACUCAGAGCCUUACAUUUGAUUGACAAAUGCUCUAUCUAAGAGAAACUAUUGUAUCUUCAAAUCUGUCACUUGAGAUGGAAAGCAGGUCCCUGAAUCCAUGAGCUAUGGAAUAGGGUCAUUCUGUCAGGGUUGGAUUGUGACAUGGAGAGUAUAAGUCAUGCUGAGAUAUGAUGCUUUGUCUCUUGAAGCAUAAAUUGUGGUUGCAACUUAAUAGGUGGUACUUUUGUGCUGCUUCUGAACUUAAAUAAUACUUCUGAUGUCAAUAGCAUCUAUAGAUUCAUGUGUCCAUUUAAUAGCAAGCUUAUUUAUGUUUAGGCUACUAAAUGAUACACCUAUUUCUUUUCAUUCAUAAAUUUAAUUUGUUGCAGUAAUACCUAUAUUUGCUAGAAAUG
Molecule: long non-coding RNA, 554 nt
Organism: Callithrix jacchus (white-tufted-ear marmoset)
Lineage: Eukaryota; Metazoa; Chordata; Mammalia; Primates; Cebidae
Source: RefSeq, a predicted model, not a curated record